Manis pentadactyla (Chinese pangolin) is the source of this 2688-nucleotide long non-coding RNA. RefSeq lists it as uncharacterized. The transcript has 2 exons. The record is from RefSeq and is a predicted model, not a curated record. NCBI's taxonomy places the organism in Eukaryota, Metazoa, Chordata, Mammalia, Pholidota, Manidae.
ACCUGCUGUUUCAUUUCCUGAGGAUAAAAUUACAGCACACAAUGUGCUUUUUCAAACUCCUGAAGUUCCUCAGAGCCCCAAGCCCCACACCCUCCCAGGGAAAAUGGGCCUCUGUGCUCUUCUUAGACUCCAGCCUGGUGGGGCAGCAGGGGCCCAAGGCUGGAGCAGUGGGAGGACAGCAGCGGUGGGAGGGAGUGUCAAAGUGGGCAGCCAGGUCACGGAAAAGUGCAGGGUGCAGUACUGAUUUUGCACCGCUUUUUUAAUAUCUAACACAAGGCAGGCAGCAUGGAAAAAUUAGGAACCCCAGGAGAAAAUCCCUGCUUUCUUCUCAUUUCCUUGCAAGGGGCUUGGCUGACCUUCCCCAUCUAGAGCGGAGAGCCCCCACCCGCCUGCCCAUUGCCCUGCUCUCUUUCAGCUGCUAGUGUGAAAUUUUUUGUGUUUAUCACCUCUCUCCCACUAGAAUGUAAGUGCAAUCAGGGCAGGGACCUUCCACAGUUAGAGCUGACCCUUCUCUAGGGACAUGUGAUCUGUGAAAUGGGUGAGGGUCGGUAGAGGUUCUGGAUGACACUUUUAUAAAAUGUAUUUACAGAUUUAAAAACUUCAGAAACAUAGUUUCUCCCUGCUGGGCUGCAGUCAGCCUGCCAUGGCAAACAGGAGCCAGGGAGAUCCAGGAAUGGGACAUGCCUCUGCUGGGUCAGGGCGGGUGUGCAGAGGCAGACCCUGGCCCUUCAGCUCUGACUUAAGAGCAGGGGUCAUCCUCCCCUGCCCAAGGGUGAGCAGGCGGCGGAGGAGCGAGGCCCGGAUGAGCAGAUCCAGGCCCCAGCCUGUCCUGCUGUGAGGCCCAGCCUGCAGUUUUCCCCUCUAGACCCCUGGAAUUGGAGUUUCCCAGGGAGACAGUGAAAAACACAGAUUCCAAGGUGCCUCCCUGACUGGAGGAAUCACACUCAGGGAGCUGAUGGGGGCAAAACCUGCAUUUAAAUGGGCCUCUGCAGGGCGUCUUCAGGUGGCACUGGGUCUCGGGCUGCAAGUCUCCAAGGGCAGGUGCCGGAAGCUUCCACUCAGUUUUGCUUUUCAGCGUCAAUUUGGCCCCUCCUGGCCGUGUGACCCCGUGAGCCUUUGCCUCGGGUUCGUCAUCUGUAAAAUGCGUUCAGGAGGAUUCUGGGGUAAGAGCAGAUGAAGGAGCUCGCGCAAAGCGGGAAGCUUUGUAGCAAACGGAAGACGAGAGUUUUUAAUUAAUGUGCUGCAGUACUGGAGGGUUUCCUACGGGCAUCUUCAGCUGUCCAGUUGGGGAGGGACAUCUGGUCCCAGAAGGUACCCUGGUGGCUGCUGAUGGUUCUGCAGCGAACAGGCGGGGUGGCUCUGGUGAGGGGUCAAGGCCUGGGCUGCAGGUUUGCGGCCUGGUGCUGGCGAGAGCUGGGUCUGGCUCUGCCCGACCGGUCUUUCUCCCAGUGAAUAAAUGGCUGCGACUGGAUGGCUCUGGCCUCUCGUCUAGGCCACUCCUGGAGUGACUCAGCCUUCUCACUGAGCAAAUCUGCUCUGAGCCUCAGAGGGUGGAGGGCCUGGAGCCCCUCGGGGACAGCCAGCCACUGUCCUGGUGGCCCCUCAGCCCCCUAGACUUCUCUGUCAGGUAGACUGAGCGAGUUACUUCUCUCACUGGAGUUCAGUCAACGCCAAAGUUGCCACCACGCUGUGUGGGUCUCUUUAUCCAUGUUGCCAGUGUCCCCAGGGUUCCCUCUCCAAGGCAGCUGAGGGCCCCUGAGGGCCUGCUGCCAUUCCGGACCGGCUGGGCCUUGCAGUGAGCCAGCAGACCCGAGAGAACGAGGUUCCAGCCAGGUUAUGAGAUGGCCAGAAACUCAAGAUGCGGAGUGAUAAAAAUAGAUGCGUGGCAAAUGGUUCUAGUGUAAAAAUAGAGCUACAGGGGGCUUGCCUGGGGGCGCCUGGGACCUGGGAUGCCAAAUGGGUGGUCCACAGGCUGGACUGGGCCUACUAGUCAGGACAGAGCAGCUGGGCUAGGGGCUCGGCUGGUGUGGCGGACAGGGUGUGUGCAUGCUGCUCAUCCACAGGCCUCAUGGAGCUCGACUCUGGGCCAGCCCUGGGGCCUGGUGUGAGCUGCCCCGCUGUGCCCUCUCUAGGGACUGCUGCUGUCAGGGUGGGGUGGGCGAGCAGACCAUCCCAGGCUGAUGGUCAGUGUGAGCAGGCACCUGAGGGCAGUGGCCAGAGGAGGGCAGUGUGCACCCACCUGGCCCUGGGUGGGGUGGCAGGGUGAGUCGGCGCAGGCACCAUGGGAAGGCAGGAGUGGGCAGUGGCUGAGCCCAGAGGCAUCGGGAAGUUCACAGAUGUAGCAGGCAGGCCCCUUGGGGUGUGUGGGCAAGGGGGAAGCUGAGGGCAGCUCCGGAGACCGGAGAAGAGAGGGACCGAGUGAAGGCCUUCGGGGUCCUGGAGCCUCUCUGGCGGGCGCGGCUCUGCCAGCUCCCUCCUUCCUCCCACGGCCUCUCCUCCUGUCAUCCUGUCCAGCCUCCGGCCGUCCCCCUGCCAGGCACAAGUCAGCAUCUUCUGAGCUUGCUGGGGCUGGAGGAGCCCCUCCUACUCACCCACGUGGCCGUUGGCUGUGGCCGCGCAGUGCCAUGUGGACGUCUCUAUACUAUGUGACGGUCUUUUUCUCUCCAAGAAUAAAUGGCUGCAUCUGGA